Molecule: long non-coding RNA, 1478 nt
Filed under: Equus caballus (horse)
Lineage: Eukaryota; Metazoa; Chordata; Mammalia; Perissodactyla; Equidae
Description: lncRNA (ENSECAG00000049532.1)
Source: RNAcentral
GAAGAGCCAUUCACUAGGUGUGUGUCCUGCCUCCCUGAUUCCUGACAUGGCUGUAACUCUUCCUCCAGGCUCUGCUUUUUACCUCCGGGCCUUGCUUUCAGCUCCACUUUGCCUCAAUCUGCUUUUCACUUAGGCCUUUAUUGAUAAUUAUCUUUUUAAUAUACGAUUGCCAAAAUUAAAAGAAAUAUUCCCCCUUUCCUUGUCAAUGAAUUUCUGACUCGGAUGGUCCAAUGCUCGUUUCCUUUAACAGCUGCUGUCUGCUUCUCCUUGUGUCUGAAAGAGGGACCAGGAGAGCAGAGCUCCCUAAGCUAGAGGGACACAAAGCUUUCCUCUCUGUGGUUUGCCCCUUACAUGCUGAGCCAUCCAUCUAUCAGCUUGUCCUUCUCACAGGUAUACUCUUGGUCAUGGCUGGCUCCAGGAGAUUACUUGUCUCGCUACUGAAUUUUCUUUAUAUGUUUUUUUUUAAGUGUGUAUGAAAUUAUAGUCUUGAGCUUUCCUUUUUCAUACACAAACUAAUCAUUAUGAAACCCAAUAAUGAUCCCUGAGGGAAAAACCACAUGGAGCAAAAGAGCUCAGACGUGGAGUGAGGGUGUUGGACAACAGACAUCGUUCUGGGACCUGUGGACACAAUUCUCUCCGGGGGGGUGCACUUGGGCUCGUGUGUCCCGGAUCGGCUGCUGCUGUGGCAUUCUACUGGUGCUGAGGGAGAGGGCUGGAGUAAUGCUCGCAUUUGCCUCAUGCAGCCUCGUUGUUUGAUGUGAAACAUGGUUCUUGGGCUGGCAUUUUGCAGCAGCUACGUCAGUUGGUGGCAUAUUUCUGAUACUCUCUUCACGUCUUGCUGUUAACCAGCAGGAAGAUGACCUGAAACAGUGGGAAUUAGAAAGCUGUCCUUUGCUAGUGACAGAAGAGCCAAAGAUGGACAGGGCUCAGGUGGUCCAAAAGAGCUAUCUUCUUUUUGUUUUGUUUUGUUCUGUUUUCUCUUUUUUUUUGAGUGGUUAUGGCCACGCCUGGCUUCCAAGUUUUCAAAAUCCUAGUAGACACAAGAAAACAUUUCUUUUCAGUUUAUUGUGACACACAUAUAAGUCUUCAAAGCACUGUGUGCAGAAUAGUUUCCAAAUAUAAAGCUUGUGAGCAAGGUAGACAUUGCUGAGGUUCAUCUCCUAUGACCCUUUCUGUAGUGAGUAUGGCUGUGCCCUCAGAGAACAGAGACAUGGAGAAGCAUCUGAUUACAUCCAUUUCUCUCCAGGCUGACUCGACUGCCGCCACAAUACAUGGAUGUUGUGUUGCCACAUGGUGUCUACUUGUUGUGAAAUAGAAAUCUUGCUACACUUAAUCAUGUGCAUCCAGUAUGUUUGCUGGAUGACCCUAGGCCCACUGGAAUAUUUCACAACUCAUUCUAGACUUGUUUGGAAGCCUGGCUUCUCUGUUUCAGUCAAUAAAACCUGCAAGUAACCAUUUGCAAAGAAGAAGUGGAAACA